Phasianus colchicus (ring-necked pheasant) is the source of this 236-nucleotide non-coding RNA. NCBI's taxonomy places the organism in Eukaryota, Metazoa, Chordata, Aves, Galliformes, Phasianidae. The record is from RefSeq and is a predicted model, not a curated record.
CGCUUUACGGCACGGCGGGGACUUCAACUCCCAGCAACCCCCGCGCGGCGCAGGCGCAGAGCGCGCGGUGCGAAAAAGGCGGGAAGGCGUCGAGCGGGCGCUGAGGUGAGCGCGGCGAUGGGCAAAAGGAAGAGCGGCCAGGCGCCAGGUGGGGCCGACGGUGACGGCCGUGCUGCCAAAGCCAGGGCAGGACUGCAGGGGGACCGGGGGGCAAACGGGGGGGACAAAAUUGGAUU